This 193-nucleotide ribosomal RNA is filed under the name Staphylococcus aureus. RNAcentral describes it as "partial 16S ribosomal RNA". It matches the Rfam family "Bacterial small subunit ribosomal RNA", at positions 594 to 786 of the family's 1533-position model. The record is from RNAcentral. Lineage: Bacteria; Bacillati; Bacillota; Bacilli; Caryophanales; Staphylococcaceae.
GUGAAAGCCCACGGCUCAACCGUGGAGGGUCAUUGGAAACUGGAAAACUUGAGUGCAGAAGAGGAAAGUGGAAUUCCAUGUGUAGCGGUGAAAUGCGCAGAGAUAUGGAGGAACACCAGUGGCGAAGGCGACUUUCUGGUCUGUAACUGACGCUGAUGUGCGAAAGCGUGGGGAUCAAACAGGAUUAGAUACC